RNAcentral lists this unclassified non-coding RNA (482 nucleotides) under Hevea brasiliensis (rubber tree). The record is from RNAcentral. Lineage: Eukaryota; Viridiplantae; Streptophyta; Magnoliopsida; Malpighiales; Euphorbiaceae.
GAAAACACCUUAUUUGUCAUCCUUAAACACAAUUAGCAAAUGUUCUGCCACUUUGGGGACAAAAGGUUGGUACAACUCCUAGUAGGUCUGGCCAUUUCAACCAACACGAAAGAUGGUAAAAUUCAUAGUGCCAAAAGCAAAAUUUUCAGAAGAUAAAAAAGGUGCAUUAUACGAUCAAAUCCACUGCACAAUGAUUAGGAUCCAUGCCUGCUCGUUCAUAUUACAAGUAUGUUCUCAUCACAUUCGGAUACUUUUGUUAAAAGUCGGAGCUCCACUUUCCAAGGGAUCCUUAAAAGCAAAACUUCUUUUUCUGAAAUUUUGCAGCUUCCUGACCAUCAAUGUAUGCAAGAAGUUCCUCUUGUCUCAUCAAAGCCUCGUGCAAAGCCUUCUUGGUUGCAAUUAACUCAGCUUCCAGGGCAUCCACACGGCAAACAGCAGCAUUUAGCAGUUCCUCUUUCUCAUAAGGCAUCUCAGAUGGCUUU